CAUUGACUAGUCCGCACGUUAAAUAAAAUAAAAGCGUGAAGAAACCCCAUAAUAGCGGGAUUAAUUUGAGAGUUGGACGAUGGUCAAUGGGGUGCAGGAUGGAACUGGGGAAGCCUUUGAUAGUUAUGGUAUGCGGGAGCCUCGUCUACUACCACUGUGCAUAUCGCAACUCCAGCCUCCUCUCUCUCCUCUCCGACGUCCUCAUCGUCCUCCUCUGCUCCCUCGCGAUCCUCGGCCUCCUUUUUCGCCAGAUGAACAUCUCGGUACCUGUAGAUCCCCUCGAAUGGCAAAUCUCUCAGGACACUGCUACUAGCAUUGUUGCUUGCUUGGCUAACACCAUAGGAGCAGCUGAGUCUGUUUUGAGGGUUGCUGCGACCGGCCAUGACAAGAGGCUAUUUUUAAAGGUGGUUGCCACACUUUAUGUGCUAUCAGCUUUGGGACGAGUGGUAUCGGGUGUCACCGUUGCUUAUGUUGGAUUAUGCCUGUUUUGUCUGUACUUGUUUGCUGAAAGCUCACAAUUGAUCAGCACAUGUUUCUCUCAGUUUCUAGGGAGAAGAGACUGCACAAAUGAGGCACAGGAUAACAUGUAGCUUCUAAUAUCUGAAUGAUGCAGGAACCCUCGCAUAUUUGACACCGUACCUGGACGCCGACACAGCGUGUCGCUUCGGGGCGACGACCUAGCCCAACCUUGCCCACUUUUCGCUACACCCGGGUGGUUCAAGUGCAACGCGUCACUCGUAAGGGACGCCCCAGCAAAUAUUCGUUUUCCAAUGGGGACUGAGGACUCAUCUGCAUAUUGUGUUGAUCAUUGUCUUGAUGGCAGAGACCAUCUCUUCUUCAAGUGCAGUUUUGAGCUUGUAUCUACCGAAGUUUUGGAAUGCAAAAAUAAACAUGAGCAUGAAAGGAUUCACACUGAUACUAAAGACACUGCUAAGAGGAUCUUUUGUUUGGCGUAAAAGGCAAUUUGAUGGGUUCUAGGGAAGCUCAUGGUGAAGGUAAAGGAAGGUUGUAAUGGUAGCUUUAGGACAAUUGGCAAUCCAAGAUCCUAAUUAUAGGUCAAAAUGGCUCAAAGUAAAGCCAAAAUCUAGUGAAAAUUUCAAAAUAUGGUGGCUAAACUUAAUUCAUCAUGAUUUUUGUAAAAUGCAAGAGAACUUGGAAUUGCUCCACAUGGGGGCGUGCCGCUAUUAAUUCUCCUCUAGUAGUUGGUCUCAAGGGGCGAUGAUUUCAAAAGAGUAUGGAAUUCCAAAAUUUGGUGAGUCAAUAAUGAAAUAGGCCUUUCCAUGGUUUUUGGUUUUCAAUGGCG
RNA transcript from Malania oleifera, 1303 nucleotides. It is a transcript of the gene named reticulon-like protein B23, with no coding region annotated. The transcript is spliced from 7 exons. NCBI's taxonomy places the organism in Eukaryota, Viridiplantae, Streptophyta, Magnoliopsida, Santalales, Ximeniaceae. The record is from RefSeq and is a predicted model, not a curated record.